GACGAAUGCUGGCGGCGUGCCUAAUACAUGCAAGUCGAGCGGACGAAUCGAAAGCUUGCUUUUGAUUCGUUAGCGGCGGACGGGUGAGUAACACGUGGGCAACCUGCCCUGUAGACGGGGAUAACACCGAGAAAUCGGUGCUAAUACCGGAUAACACGAAAUGUCGCAUGACGUUUCGUUGAAAGACGGCGCAAGCUGCCGCUACAGGAUGGGCCCGCGGCGCAUUAGCUAGUUGGUGAGGUAACGGCUCACCAAGGCGACGAUACGUAGCCGACCUGAGAGGGUGAUCGGCCACACUGGGACUGAGACACGGCCCAGACUCCUACGGGAGGCAGCAGUAGGGAAUCUUCCGCAAUGGACGAAGGUCUGACGGAGCAACGCCGCGUGAGCGAAGAAGGCCUUCGGGUCGUAAAGCUCUGUUGUUAGGGAAGAACAAGUAACGCAGUAACUGGCGUUACCGUGACGGUACCUAACGAGAAAGCCACGGCUAACUACGUG
This 498-nucleotide ribosomal RNA is filed under the name uncultured bacterium. RNAcentral's name for it is "partial 16S ribosomal RNA". It matches the Rfam family "Bacterial small subunit ribosomal RNA", at positions 28 to 507 of the family's 1533-position model. The record is from RNAcentral.